CUUGACGGUACCCUCAAAGGAAGCACCGGCUAACUCCGUGCCAGCAGCCGCGGUAAUACGGAGGGUGCGAGCGUUGUUCGGAAUUAUUGGGCGUAAAGCGCGUGUAGGCGGUUUGUUAAGUCUGAUGUGAAAGCCCCGGGCUCAACCUGGGAAGUGCAUUGGAAACUGGCAGACUUGAAUACGGGAGAGGGUAGUGGAAUUCCUAGUGUAGGAGUGAAAUCCGUAGAUAUUAGGAGGAACACCGGUGGCGAAGGCGGCUACCUGGACCGAUAUUGACGCUGAGACGCGAAAGCGUGGGGAGCAAACAGGAUUAGAUACCCUGGUAGUCCACGCCGUAAACGAUGAGUACUAGGUGUUGCGGGUAUUGACCCCUGCAG
Molecule: ribosomal RNA, 377 nt
Filed under: uncultured bacterium
Lineage: Bacteria
Description: bacterial SSU rRNA
Rfam family: Bacterial small subunit ribosomal RNA
Source: RNAcentral